RNAcentral lists this ribosomal RNA (484 nucleotides) under uncultured bacterium. RNAcentral describes it as "partial 16S ribosomal RNA". It matches the Rfam family "Bacterial small subunit ribosomal RNA", at positions 30 to 507 of the family's 1533-position model. The record is from RNAcentral.
AUUGAACGCUGGCGGCAGGCCUAACACAUGUAGGUCGAGCGGAUGAAGGGAGCUUGCUCCUGGAUUCAGCGGCGGACGGGUGAGUAAUGCCUAGGAAUCUGCCUGGUAGUGGGGGAUAACGUCCGGAAACGGGCGCUAAUACCGCAUACGUCCUGAGGGAGAAAGUGGGGGAUCUUCGGACCUCACGCUAUCAGAUGAGCCUAGGUCGGAUUAGCUAGUUGGUGGGGUAAAGGCCUACCAAGGCGACGAUCCGUAACUGGUCUGAGAGGAUGAUCAGUCACACUGGAACUGAGACACGGUCCAGACUCCUACGGGAGGCAGCAGUGGGGAAUAUUGGACAAUGGGCGAAAGCCUGAUCCAGCCAUGCCGCGUGUGUGAAGAAGGUCUUCGGAUUGUAAAGCACUUUAAGUUGGGAGGAAGGGCAGUAAGUUAAUACCUUGCUGUUUUGACGUUACCAACAGAAUAAGCACCGGCUAACUUCGUG